RNAcentral lists this non-coding RNA (29 nucleotides) under Rattus norvegicus (Norway rat). The record is from RNAcentral. Lineage: Eukaryota; Metazoa; Chordata; Mammalia; Rodentia; Muridae.
UAACCCUUCUCUUUCAUGGGUCGUGUGAC